ACUUCUAUUAGUUUGGAACAAUUGGAAAAGUCUAAAAACGAAACCCUUUAUUUUGAAAAACAAAGGGCAAUGAAUCAGGUCCGACAACGGGUUUUCCAAUAGGCCAUACAAGGAGCUCUAGGAACUCUGAAGAUUUCUGUUUUCUCUUUCUUUUCCUUUUUGUUUGUUUCGAGAAAGAUAUCGUCCAAUUCUCCUUCUAUUGAUUCUUUUCUCCUCCAAGCAGAAUGA
Molecule: ribosomal RNA, 228 nt
Filed under: Triticum aestivum (bread wheat)
Lineage: Eukaryota; Viridiplantae; Streptophyta; Magnoliopsida; Poales; Poaceae
Description: partial small subunit ribosomal RNA
Source: RNAcentral